This 217-nucleotide long non-coding RNA is filed under the name Pan troglodytes (chimpanzee). RNAcentral describes it as "long non-coding RNA NONPTRT002298". Lineage: Eukaryota; Metazoa; Chordata; Mammalia; Primates; Hominidae. The record is from RNAcentral.
AGACUUUUGAAUAACAAAACGAUUGGUUUAAAUCAGGUGGAAAACCUAUUUACAAAAUGGGUUUAAUAUAAAAAAUCUCCAAAACCUGAUCUGAAGGAAUUUUGCCUUCGUACCAUUUGAGUUCACUAAUUCUAGAUUUCCAAAAAGUGAUUCCUAGAAUUUUAAAAGAAAAAUAUUUGGUUAACAACAAUAUUUCAUGUUAGAAGAAAAGAAGGAA